RNAcentral lists this transfer RNA (77 nucleotides) under Shewanella piezotolerans WP3. Its description in RNAcentral is "tRNA-Trp". The record is from RNAcentral. Lineage: Bacteria; Pseudomonadati; Pseudomonadota; Gammaproteobacteria; Alteromonadales; Shewanellaceae.
GUCGCCAUGGUGAUUACUGACGGUAAAGUGGCAUCACGUAUUGUGACCACUGCACAAGUGAUUGAUAACCAGUGGCG